This 467-nucleotide ribosomal RNA is filed under the name uncultured bacterium. Its description in RNAcentral is "partial 16S ribosomal RNA". It matches the Rfam family "Bacterial small subunit ribosomal RNA", at positions 28 to 507 of the family's 1533-position model. The record is from RNAcentral.
GAUGAACGCUGACAGAAUGCUUAACACAUGCAAGUCAACUUGAAUUUGGGUUUUUAACUUAGGUUUGGGCGGCGGACGGGUGAGUAACGCGUAAAGAACUUGCCUCACAGCUAGGGACAACAUUUGGAAACGAAUGCUAAUACCUAAUAUUAUGAUAAUAGGGCAUCCUAUAAUUAUGAAAGCUAUAAGCGCUGUGAGAGAGCUUUGCGUCCCAUUAGCUAGUUGGAGAGGUAACGGCUCACCAAGGCGAUGAUGGGUAGCCGGCCUGAGAGGGUGAUCGGCCACAAGGGGACUGAGACACGGCCCUUACGCCUACGGGAGGCAGCAGUGGGGAAUAUUGGACAAUGGACCGAGAGUCUGAUCCAGCAAUUCUGUGUGCACGAUGAAGUUUUUCGGAAUGUAAAGUGCUUUCAGUUGGGAAGAAACAAAUGACGGUACCAACAGAAGAAGUGACGGCUAAAUACGUG